This 69-nucleotide transfer RNA is filed under the name Parocnus serus. RNAcentral describes it as "tRNA-Lys". Lineage: Eukaryota; Metazoa; Chordata; Mammalia; Pilosa; Megalonychidae. The record is from RNAcentral.
CAUUAGAGAAGCUAUCACAGCGUUAACCUUUUAAGUUAAAGACCGGGAACCUGAACUUCCCCUCAAUGG